UAACCAUGGUGGGGGCAAAGAGUUUGCAAUUCUUUGUAUUUUUCCCACUCUUGAUAUAAAGUUUCAUUAUCCUUUUGGAUAAAAGAAGAAAUUUUUUUUUAAAGCAG
RNAcentral lists this small nucleolar RNA (107 nucleotides) under Olea europaea subsp. europaea. RNAcentral describes it as "Plant small nucleolar RNA R71". It matches the Rfam family "Plant small nucleolar RNA R71". From Rfam's summary of the family: R71 is a member of the C/D box family of snoRNAs containing the C (UGAUGA) and D (CUGA) box motifs. Multiple nearly identical copies of this snoRNA have been identified in Arabidopsis, and it is thought to function as a 2'-O-ribose methylation guide for 18S ribosomal RNA. Lineage: Eukaryota; Viridiplantae; Streptophyta; Magnoliopsida; Lamiales; Oleaceae. The record is from Rfam by way of RNAcentral.